UAUACGUAUAUAUAUUUUUUUUCUUUUUUUCUCAUUUCUUAUGCAGAAUACAAUUCGUUAAAUAUACUUAUGAAUGACACUCCAAAAGGGAACAAAGACGAUUUCUUUGACCUAAACCUAAUCGAAGAAAAAAAAGAUGAAAAGACUAUUAAUAUAACCCCUUUAAAAAUAUAUGACAAAAAUAACAUUGAAAUUAUGUUCCAAUUUGAUAAGGAAAGUUUAGAUUCGGAGAGUACUAAUAUAAAAGCUACUUAUUCGAACAAAUCGGACAAGCUUAUACCUUACUUUGUUUUUGAAGCUGUUGUUCCUAAUUAUGUCAAACUGAACAUAUUUAAAGCUUCGUCAACUGAAUUGUUACCCUUCGAAGAAAACAAAAUAACACAAAAUAUGCUAAUUGUUAACAAACUUUUUAAAAAAAAACCAGUCCUUAUGAAAGUUAGGAUAUCAUAUACAAAAGACAACGAAAAAAUACAAGAUUUUAUUAAUAUAGGGAAUUUUCCUGAUGUUUUAUAAUAUAUAUACACAUGUGUAAAUAUACAUAUGUGUAAAUAUACACAUGUGUAAAUAUACAUAUGUGUAAAUAUACAUAUGUGUAAAUAUACAUAUAUAUAUAUAUAUAACGAAGAAAAAAAAAAAAAAACUUUGUCCCUAUUCCCUUUCACAUUUUAUUUUUUAUAAAAAAUUAGAAAAAACAUUAACACAUAUGGACAUAUAACAUAUGGGUAUGUAUGUCACAUAUGAAUGUUGUUCCACAUACAUUCAUUCGUUCACUCAUCUAAUCAUACAAUUACCCAAUCGUUCAUUUUUUUUUUUUUUUUUUUUUUUUUUUUGGUAUUUUAUUACGCUUGUAUUUGUUACUUUAUUCGAUUAUUAUAUUAUGUUUGAUAAUUAUAUUCUGUUCGAUAAUUAUAUUUUGUUCGAUAAUUAUAUUAUGUUCGAUAAUUAUAUUCUGUUCGAUUAUUUUAUUAUGUUCGAUU
This 977-nucleotide long non-coding RNA is filed under the name Piliocolobus tephrosceles (Ugandan red Colobus). RNAcentral describes it as "lncRNA (ENSPTEG00000024111.1)". Lineage: Eukaryota; Metazoa; Chordata; Mammalia; Primates; Cercopithecidae. The record is from RNAcentral.